AGGUAGUGACGAAAAAUAACGAUACGGGACUCAUCCGAGGCCCCGUAAUCGGAAUGAGUACACUCUAAACCCUUUAACGAGGAUCAAUUGGAGGGCAAGUCUGGUGCCAGCAGCCGCGGUAAUUCCAGCUCCAAUAGCGUAUAUUAAAGUUGUUGCGGUUAAAAAGCUCGUAGUCGAAUCUGUGUCUCGCGCCGCCGGUUCAUCGCUCGCGGUGUUUAACUGGCGUGUCGCGGGACGUCCUGCCGGUGGGCUUAGCCUCUCGCGGGGCGGCCCAACUACAAUCCCACCGCGGUGCUCUUUACUGAGUGUCGAGGUGGGCCGGCACGUUUACUUUGAACAAAUUAGAGUGCUUAAAGCAGGCUCAAACUUCGCCUGAAUAUUCGUGCAUGGAAUAAUGGAAUAGGACCUCGGUUCUAUUUUGUUGGUUUUCGGAACCCCGAGGUAAUGAUUAAUAGGAACGGAUGGGGGCAUUCGUAUUGCGACGUUAGAGGUGAAAUUCUUGGAUCGUCGCAAGACGGACAGAAGCGAAAGCAUUUGCCAAAAACGCUUUCAUUGAUCAAGAACGAAAGUUAGAGGUUCGAAGGCGAUCAGAUACCGCCCUAGUUCUAACCAUAAACGAUGCCAGCUAGCGAUCCGCCGACGUUCCUCCGAUGACUCGGCGGGCAGCUUCCGGGAAACCAAAGCUUUUGGGUUCCGGGGGAAGUAUGGUUGCAAAGCUGAAACUUAAAGGAAUUGACGGAAGGGCACCACCAGGAGUGGAGCCUGCGGCUUAAUUUGACUCAACACGGGAAACCUCACCAGGCCCGGACACCGGAAGGAUUGACAGAUUGAGAGCUCUUUCUUGAUUCGGUGGGUGGUGGUGCAUGGCCGUUCUUAGUUGGUGGAGCGAUUUGUCUGGUUAAUUCCGAUAACGAACGAGACUCUAGCCUGCUAACUAGGCGUAUUUUCGACAUCUCAAAGGCCCCUCGGCCCGGCGCUCUCGCGUCGCGGUCGUGCGCGGUUUUUACUGUCGGCGUACAAUCAAUUCUUCUUAGAGGGACAGGCGGCUUCUAGCCGCACGAGAUUGAGCAAUAACAGGUCUGUGAUGCCCUUAGAUGUUCUGGGCCGCACGCGCGCUACACUGAAGGAAUCAGCGUGUCCUCCCUGGCCGAGAGGCCCGGGUAACCCGCUGAACCUCCUUCGUGCUAGGGAUUGGGGCUUGCAAUUGUUCCCCAUGAACGAGGAAUUCCCAGUAAGCGCGAGUCAUAAGCUCGCGUUGAUUACGUCCCUGCCCUUUGUACACACCGCCCGUCGCUACUACCGAUUGAAUGAUUUAGUGAGGUCUUCGGACCGGUACGCGGCGGCGCUCCCGCGUCGCCGAUGCUGCUGGGAAGAUGACCA
RNAcentral lists this ribosomal RNA (1380 nucleotides) under Anticura flinti. Its description in RNAcentral is "SSU rRNA". It matches the Rfam family "Eukaryotic small subunit ribosomal RNA", at positions 462 to 1761 of the family's 1831-position model. The record is from RNAcentral. Lineage: Eukaryota; Metazoa; Arthropoda; Insecta; Coleoptera; Hydrophilidae.